AACGCACAUUGCGCCCGCCAGUACUCUGGCGGGCAUGCCUGUCCGAGCGUCAUUUCAACCCUCGGGCCCCCGUUUCGGCGGCGGGCCCGGCGUUGGGGAUCAGGGGCCGCCCGGCGGACCCUGCCCCCUAAAUACAGUGGCGGUCGCGCCGCAGCCUCCCCUGCGUAGUAGCACACCUCGCACCGGAGAGCGGCUCGGCCACGCCGUGAAACCCCCCAAUUUUUCAAGGUUGACCUCGGAUCAGGUAGGAAUACCCGCUGAACUUAA
RNAcentral lists this unclassified non-coding RNA (267 nucleotides) under uncultured fungus. Its description in RNAcentral is "partial contains 5.8S ribosomal RNA, internal transcribed spacer 2, and large subunit ribosomal RNA". The stretch from base 1 to 52 matches the Rfam family "5.8S ribosomal RNA", at positions 103 to 154 of the family's 154-position model. Lineage: Eukaryota; Fungi. The record is from RNAcentral.